UACAGAGGUCCCAAGCGUUGUUCGGAUUUACUGGGCUUAAAGGGUGCGCAGGCGGUCAGAUAAGUCGGGUGUGAAAUCCCAAGGCUUAACCUUGGAACUGCGCCCGAAACUGUUUGGCUCGAGGAUUGGAGAGGAGACUGGAAUUCACGGUGUAGCGGUGAAAUGCGUAGAUAUCGGGAGGAACACCAAUGGCGAAGGCAGGUCCCUGGACAAUUUCUGACGCUGAUGCGCGAAAGCCAGGGGAGCAAACGGG
RNAcentral lists this ribosomal RNA (253 nucleotides) under uncultured bacterium. RNAcentral's name for it is "partial 16S ribosomal RNA". It matches the Rfam family "Bacterial small subunit ribosomal RNA", at positions 524 to 776 of the family's 1533-position model. The record is from RNAcentral.